CCUACGGGUGGCAGCAGUGGGGAAUAUUGGGCAAUGGACGCAAGUCUGACCCAGCAACGCCGCGUGAAGGAAGAAGGCCUUCGGGUUGUAAACUUCUUUUAAGGGGGAAGAGGAGAAGACGGUACCCCUUGAAUAAGCCACGGCUAACUACGGGCCAGCAGCCGCGGUCAUACGGAGGUGGCACGCGUUGUCCGAAUGUACUGGGGGUAAAGGGCGUGCAGCCGGGCCGACAAGACAGAUGUGAAAUCCGCGGGCUUAACCCGCGAACUGCAUUUGAAACUAUAGGGCUUGAGUGCCGGAGAGGUAAGCGGAAUUCCUGGUGUAGCGGUGAAAUGCGUAGAUAUAAGGAAGAACACCAGUGGCGAAGGCGGAUUACUGGACGGUAACUGACGGUGAGGCGCGAAAGCGUGGGGAGCAAACAGGAUUAGAUACCCGAGUAGUC
RNAcentral lists this ribosomal RNA (442 nucleotides) under uncultured bacterium. Its description in RNAcentral is "partial 16S ribosomal RNA". It matches the Rfam family "Bacterial small subunit ribosomal RNA", at positions 338 to 795 of the family's 1533-position model. The record is from RNAcentral.